This 254-nucleotide ribosomal RNA is filed under the name uncultured bacterium. RNAcentral's name for it is "partial 16S ribosomal RNA". It matches the Rfam family "Bacterial small subunit ribosomal RNA", at positions 524 to 776 of the family's 1533-position model. The record is from RNAcentral.
UACGUAGGGACCAAGCGUUGUUCGGAUUUACUGGGCGUAAAGGGCGCGUAGGCGGCAAUUCAAGUCAUCUGUGAAAUCUCCGGGCUUAACCCGGAACGGUCAGGUGAUACUGUUUUGCUAGAGUGCGGAAGGGGCAAUCGGAAUUCUCGGUGUAGCGGUGAAAUGCGUAGAUAUCGAGAGGAACACCAGAGGUGAAGACGGGUCGCUGGGCCGACACUGACGCUGACAGCGCGAAAGCCAGGGGAGCAAACGGG